RNAcentral lists this long non-coding RNA (1436 nucleotides) under Piliocolobus tephrosceles (Ugandan red Colobus). RNAcentral describes it as "lncRNA (ENSPTEG00000031383.1)". The record is from RNAcentral. Lineage: Eukaryota; Metazoa; Chordata; Mammalia; Primates; Cercopithecidae.
AGAGAGUGUUGGUAGAAUGUGAUUCUAUCCAGGAGUGAAGUAAAAACAGAAAACAGUAGAGUUUUUUUUGUGCAGAAUUCUACUGUUCUAGCAACGACAAAAAUAUACUUAUAUGUACAAAAUAUCAAAUACAAAUUAUAAUUUUGAUGAUUUCACAUAUGAGUUAAGUGUUCUUAUAUUUGUAUCUAAAACUGGUAUUGUGCAAUGUAAUGAUGAAUGGUAAAAUUCAUGUUAGUAAUUAAAAAUUUUAAUUUUUCUUUACUUAGAAUGGCAUCAAGGCAUCAAAUAGCAAAUAAAAAAUAUCACAAGAUGAGAGAGAGACUGGAAGAAAGAAGAAAGCUCCGUAUUUUAGUAACUUCAAGGACACUUUUUUCCUGCUUUUUGAAGAAGAGGUCCCACAUUUUCAGUUUGAACAAGGAGCCCCACAAUUGUGAGAAAAGCCUGACAGAGGGCAAGGAGACUGAGGAUACGAGGCCCACUCAGAUCCCAGAGUUAUUAAGAGCUACCCUCAUGCAAGGUUUAAAAUCACCAGGGGGGAAAAAACCCCAACAACUUCCGAAUGGAAGAGGGAAUCAUUUCUCCUCCUGACUACACAAUCGUCUUACAAGAGCCUUAUUCAGAACAGCUGGCAGGAAAUUAUAUUUUCACAAACUGAUUUAUUGCACAGCCCGAACACUGCCCGUUUCAAUAGGACUUCCGCAAGCAGAUUUAGACUUGAGUUACACGGUGGGUCCAUUCAGAACCAUUUUCCUCUACGACGAAACGUUUUCAUGACAAAAGUGGCCCAAAUCAACGCACUGGUGCUCCUUAGAAUUCUCGGCCUGGCAGCGAACAUGCUUCAGGAGGCCUGCGUGGCUGUCGCCUGCAUGGGCCUUCCCAGUGAGCUGUGUUUGUUUUCUGAAGCGUGCUUUAUGUGGGCCCAGCCACAGGACACAAUUGCUUCAUUUCUAUUCUCGGCAGUGGCCAUGCCUACAUUGCAACCGCCUGCCUGGGCCCACACAAGAUUUCCAGAGAAAUGAGCAUGACAUUAAACACCCCGUUUUACAUGAGGAGAAAGCAGCAAAAGGCAGUCGGGCCUGGCAGCCUCCCUCCCUCCCCAGAGAUGUCUGAGUGGACCGGAAGGCCUCAUGGGGGUCACCUUUGCCUCAAGGAAUAAUUCCCCUCCAGGAAAGUCCCCGCCAGCAUCCUUUAUAAAAAGACUUCCAUUGCCGGUGAGGGAGUUAUUUCUGAGACAGCACUGCCAACAAAUGUAACCCUUUGGGAAAAGUGCUAAGUCAAGCUGGGAUUCCCCACCGAGGGCUCCGGAGCCUCUGGCGUCUCUCAGGAAAAGGCAAUCUUGGUAUAAGCAUAUUAAUGUCGCUUUUCUUGAACCGGAAAAGGGGAGUGGGAGGAGGGUUCUCCCAAUUUUACCAGAAUAAAAAUGCCCUGAGGAAACA